CGGCAACAGCUCAAAUUUGAAAGCUAGCCUUCGGGUUCGCAUUGUAAUUUGUAGAGGAUGAUUUGGGGAAGCCGCCUGUCUAAGUUCCUUGGAACAGGACGUCAUAGAGGGUGAGAAUCCCGUAUGUGACAGGAAAUGGCACCCUAUGUAAAUCUCCUUCGACGAGUCGAGUUGUUUGGGAAUGCAGCUCUAAAUGGGAGGUAAAUUUCUUCUAAAGCUAAAUAUUGGCGAGAGACCGAUAGCGCACAAGUAGAGUGAUCGAAAGAUGAAAAGCACUUUGGAAAGAGAGUUAAAAAGCACGUGAAAUUGUUGAAAGGGAAGCGCUUGCAAUCAGACUUGUUUAAACUGUUCGGCCGGUCUUCUGACCGGUUUACUCAGUUUGGACAGGCCAGCAUCAGUUUCGGCGGCCGGAUAAAGGCUCUGGGAAUGUGGCCUCCACUUCGGUGGAGGUGUUAUAGCCCGGGGUGUAAUACGGCCAGCCGGGACUGAGGUCCGCGCUUCGGCUAGGAUGCUGGCGUAAUGGUUGUAAGCGGCCCGUCUUGAAACACGGACCAAGGAGUCUAACAUCUAUGCGAGUGUUCGGGUGUCAAACCCCUGCGCGUAAUGAAAGUGAACGGAGGUGGGAACCGCAAGGUGCACCAUCGACCGAUCCUGAUGUCUUCGGAUGGAUUUGAGUAAGAGCAUAGCUGUUGGGACCCGAAAGAUGGUGAACUA
This 714-nucleotide ribosomal RNA is filed under the name Aureobasidium pullulans. RNAcentral's name for it is "partial large subunit ribosomal RNA". It matches the Rfam family "Eukaryotic large subunit ribosomal RNA", at positions 99 to 833 of the family's 3401-position model. Lineage: Eukaryota; Fungi; Ascomycota; Dothideomycetes; Dothideales; Saccotheciaceae. The record is from RNAcentral.